RNAcentral lists this ribosomal RNA (484 nucleotides) under uncultured bacterium. RNAcentral's name for it is "partial 16S ribosomal RNA". It matches the Rfam family "Bacterial small subunit ribosomal RNA", at positions 29 to 508 of the family's 1533-position model. The record is from RNAcentral.
AUUGAACGCUGGCGGCAGGCCUAACACAUGCAAGUCGAGCGGAUGAAGGGAGCUUGCUCCUGGAUUCAGCGGCGGACGGGUGAGUAAUGCCUAGGAAUCUGCCUGGUAGUGGGGGAUAACGUCCGGAAACGGGCGCUAAUACCGCAUACGUCCUGAGGGAGAAAGUGGGGGAUCUUCGGACCUCACGCUAUCAGAUGAGCCUAGGUCGGAUUAGCUAGUUGGUGGGGUAAAGGCCUACCAAGGCGACGAUCCGUAACUGGUCUGAGAGGAUGAUCAGUCACAGGGGAACGGAGACAGGGCCGAGACUCGUAGGGGGGGCAGCGGGGGGAAAUUUUGAAAAAGGGGGGAAGGCCUGACCAAGCCAUGCGGGGUGUGUAAAGAAGGUCUUCGGAUUGUAAAGCAUUUUAGGUUGGGAGGAAGGAAAGAAAUUAAAUCCCUUGUUGUUUGGACUUACCCAAAAAAAUAAGCCCGGGCUAACUCCGGC